Molecule: ribosomal RNA, 253 nt
Filed under: uncultured bacterium
Lineage: Bacteria
Description: partial 16S ribosomal RNA
Rfam family: Bacterial small subunit ribosomal RNA
Source: RNAcentral
UACGGGGGGGGCAAGCGUUGUUCGGAAUUACUGGGCGUAAAGGGUGCGUAGGCGGCUUUCUAAGUUGGAUGUGAAAACUCUGGGCUCAACCCAGAGCCUGCAUCCAAAACUGGAGAGCUAGGGUUCUGGAGGGGAAAGCGGAAUUCCUGGUGUAGCGGUGAAAUGCGUAGAUAUCAGGAGGAACACCUGCGGUGUAGACGGCUUACUGGACCAUAACUGACGCUGAGGCACGAAAGCGUGGGUAGCAAACAGG